UUAACGCCCCACUGAAGGAUGGCCUUUUCUGUUGGUGAUCCAGAAAUCUCCAGAGCUUUACUAUCCUGUUAAAGACCAGCCACAACAAUUUUCAAUUGUUUCAGCAUUAUAAUGGUCUAAAACUAAUCAGAUAUUAAAAUUACUUUGUGUCAAGGUGCUUGAAUUUUCAAUGCAACUAGAAUGCUUGACAAGAUUCUUAUACUGCAUAUGCAGCCAAUGUUCAGAUCUUCCUUUCCAUUUUCCCACAAUUACUAAAUAUUAGAAGUAACAUUUCAUACAAUACCAGCAUAAAUUCAAUCAGCU
RNAcentral lists this long non-coding RNA (303 nucleotides) under Olea europaea (common olive). RNAcentral's name for it is "long non-coding RNA (OEUR_LNC000699)". The record is from RNAcentral. Lineage: Eukaryota; Viridiplantae; Streptophyta; Magnoliopsida; Lamiales; Oleaceae.